RNAcentral lists this transfer RNA (87 nucleotides) under Triticum aestivum (bread wheat). It matches the Rfam family "tRNA". From Rfam's summary of the family: Transfer RNA (tRNA) molecules are approximately 80 nucleotides in length. RNAcentral also lists the same sequence under 1 other name. The record is from Rfam by way of RNAcentral. Lineage: Eukaryota; Viridiplantae; Streptophyta; Magnoliopsida; Poales; Poaceae.
GGAUGGAUGUCUGAGCGGUUGAAAGAGUCGGUCUUGAAAAACGAAGUAUUGAUAGGAAUAGCGGGGGUUCGAAUCCCUCUCCAUCCG